UCCCGUUAAUUAAUUUUAAUUUUUUUUUUACAUUCAUGUGUCUGAAAUUUUGUCGGAGUCCCGUUUACAAUUAUGUUGUUCACACCUGAAUGCCAGUGAACCGUGACGCCUAGAUUUCACUGAAUGAGGAUCAAAGGAUUAGAAUUACAUAAUGCUAAUCUUUUAAUUACCUUGAGUUAACCUACGCAUUCAACAUUCUUUAGGUGUCACAAAACAAUACACAUUUUAUUUCCACCGUACAAGCAAGUGAAAAUGUUUGCUGUAAUGAAGCA
RNAcentral lists this long non-coding RNA (272 nucleotides) under Mytilus galloprovincialis (Mediterranean mussel). Lineage: Eukaryota; Metazoa; Mollusca; Bivalvia; Mytilida; Mytilidae. The record is from RNAcentral.